This is a non-coding RNA of Cucumis melo (muskmelon), 101 nucleotides long. The record is from Rfam. NCBI's taxonomy places the organism in Eukaryota, Viridiplantae, Streptophyta, Magnoliopsida, Cucurbitales, Cucurbitaceae.
AUUUCCUCAGGGAUAUCCAAUAUAAUUGGAACAAUAAAGAGAAGAUUAGCAUGUCCCUACACAAGUAUGACACACAUCUACCAAGUGCUCGUUAUAUUUUC